UUAUUGUCAACACUCCAAACUUGUUCACUGUUAGAGAGACAAAGCAAGCUGUCUAUAGGAGCCCUUUUCUUCUCAUCCAGAGUCCAACUACAAAGACCAGUUACAUCAUCUUCCAUAGAAAAUUUCUGUUGAGUCCCAGAAUUAACAAGGGGACAAUCCUUUGAACAGCUUUCUUGCAUGGUGCUUUUCACAGAAUCCAUAUCCUGUUCUCUGUAGCGAUGGUCAAAACCAGUAUGUGGUUCACCAUCACACAGACUUUUAAAUCCCUUAUGCUUCCACUGGUCCACUGGGUUACAUGAGACCUUAUUCAUGCUAUUCUCAUUACCAUGUGUUUGCUCAUUAGAAGAUGGUUCACCUAAACUGCUUUCAAAAUUUUUAUCAGGCAUAAGGUUCUUUGAUCUGCCAUCCAGGGCUCCAUCAUCUUUUAAAGAAAAUGUUAGCCCAUUAGCUGAUGGAGCAAGUAAAAAAUUGUUGGAACUUCUUCCCUGCUCAAUAUUAGUUACACAUCCUUCAAGUACAUCUGCGUCUUUGCUGUGAUCACAGAUAUUAGAGCAUGGGACUUCAACAAGAUUAGGCACCUCGAUAGUACCAUUAGAAACCUUAACAAUAAUAUUUUCAGGAAGCAUUGCUCACAGGCAAAUAAAGUAAGCUCGCUGUGCAACUGGCAUUCCCCUUCAUAUUAUUUUCAGU
RNAcentral lists this unclassified non-coding RNA (690 nucleotides) under Hevea brasiliensis (rubber tree). Lineage: Eukaryota; Viridiplantae; Streptophyta; Magnoliopsida; Malpighiales; Euphorbiaceae. The record is from RNAcentral.